RNAcentral lists this ribosomal RNA (484 nucleotides) under uncultured bacterium. RNAcentral's name for it is "partial 16S ribosomal RNA". It matches the Rfam family "Bacterial small subunit ribosomal RNA", at positions 30 to 507 of the family's 1533-position model. The record is from RNAcentral.
AUUGAACGCUGGCGGCAGGCCUAACACAUGCAAGUCGAGCGGAUGAAGGGAGCUUGCUCCUGGAUUCAGCGGCGGACGGGUGAGUAAUGCCUAGGAAUCUGCCUGGUAGUGGGGGAUAACGUCCGGAAACGGGCGCUAAUACCGCAUACGUCCUGAUGGAGCAAGUGGGGGAUCUUCGGACCUCACGCUAUCAGAUGAGCCUAGGUCGGAUUAGCUAGUUGGUGGGGUAAAGGCCUACCAAGGCGACGAUCCGUAACUGGUCUGAGAGGAUGAUCAGUCACACUGGAACUGAGACACGGUCCAGACUCCUACGGGAGGCAGCAGUGGGGAAUAUUGGACAAUGGGCGAAAGCCUGAUCCAGCCAUGCCGCGUGUGUGAAGAAGGUCUUCGGAUGGUAAAGCACUUUAAGUUGGGAGGAAGGGAAGUAAGUUAAUACCUGGCUGUUUUGACGGUACCAACAGAAUAAGCACCGGCUAACUUCGUG